GUGGGCACUCUAAGGAGACUGCCGGUGACAAACCGGAGGAAGGUGGGGAUGACGUCAAGUCAUCAUGGCCCUUACGGCCUGGGCUACACACGUGCUACAAUGGUCGGUACAAAGGGUUGCCAAGCCGCGAGGUGGAGCUAAUCCCAUAAAACCGAUCGUAGUCCGGAUCGCAGUCUGCAACUCGACUGCGUGAAGUCGGAAUCGCUAGUAAUCGUGAAUCAGAAUGUCACGGUGAAUACGUUCCCGGGCCUU
Molecule: ribosomal RNA, 252 nt
Filed under: uncultured Pseudomonas sp.
Lineage: Bacteria; Pseudomonadati; Pseudomonadota; Gammaproteobacteria; Pseudomonadales; Pseudomonadaceae
Description: partial 16S ribosomal RNA
Rfam family: Bacterial small subunit ribosomal RNA
Source: RNAcentral